GUAGGUGGCAAGCGUUGUCCGGAAUUAUUGGGCGUAAAGCGCGCGCAGGCGGUCCUUUAAGUCUGAUGUGAAAGCCCACGGCUCAACCGUGGGGGGUCAUUGGAAACUGGGGGACUUGAGUACAGAAGAGGAAAGCGGAAUUCCAAGUGUAGCGGUGAAAUGCGUAGAGAUUUGGAGGAACACCAGUGGCGAAGGCGGCUUUCUGGUCUGUAACUGACGCUGAGGCGCGAAAGCGUGGGGAGCAAACAGGAUUAGAUACCCUGGUAGUCCACGCCGUAAACGAUGAGUGCUAAGUGUUAGGGGGUUUCCCGCCCCCCUUAGUGCUGCAGCUAACGCAUUAAGCACUCCGCCUGGGGGAGUACGGCCGCAAGGCUG
RNAcentral lists this ribosomal RNA (375 nucleotides) under uncultured organism. RNAcentral's name for it is "partial 16S ribosomal RNA". It matches the Rfam family "Bacterial small subunit ribosomal RNA", at positions 527 to 896 of the family's 1533-position model. The record is from RNAcentral.